Molecule: unclassified non-coding RNA, 354 nt
Filed under: soil metagenome
Description: partial contains 5.8S ribosomal RNA, internal transcribed spacer 2, and large subunit ribosomal RNA
Rfam family: 5.8S ribosomal RNA (bases 2-119)
Source: RNAcentral
GUGAAGAACGUAGCGAAAUGCGAUAAGUAGUGUGAAUUGCAGAAUUCAGUGAAUCAUCGAAUCUUUGAACGCACAUUGCGCCUUCUAGUAUUCUGGGAGGCAUGCCUGUUUGAGCGUCAUUAAACCUCUCUCAAGUAUGAUUACUUGGAUGUGAAGGAAGAGUACCUUAAACUUAAGGAGUGUUCUCCUUUGAAAUUGAUUAGCAGAUGGUAAUGUUAUUAAAUCCCUGAUGUUGUAAGAAAUAACAGUGGUUUUGUAGACUAUUAUCUAGCUUUAAAUUAUAAUUUUUAUUAUGGUUGACCUCAAAUCAGGUAAGGAUACCCGCUGAACUUAAGCAUAUCAAUAAGCGGAGGA